This 535-nucleotide ribosomal RNA is filed under the name uncultured bacterium. RNAcentral's name for it is "bacterial SSU rRNA". It matches the Rfam family "Bacterial small subunit ribosomal RNA", at positions 974 to 1509 of the family's 1533-position model. The record is from RNAcentral.
UUAGGCCUUGACAUACUAAGAACUUUCCAGAGAUGGAUUGGUGCCUUCGGGAACUUAGAUACAGGUGCUGCAUGGCUGUCGUCAGCUCGUGUCGUGAGAUGUUGGGUUAAGUCCGCAACGAGCGCAACCCUUUUCCUUAUUUGCCAGCGGGUAAUGCCGGGAACUUUAAGGAUACUGCCAGUGACAAACUGGAGGAAGGCGGGGACGACGUCAAGUCAUCAUGGCCCUUACGGCCAGGGCUACACACGUGCCACAAUGGUCGGUACAAAGGGUUGCUACCUCGCGAGAGGAUGCUAAUCUCAAAAAGCCGAUCGUAGUCCGGAUCGCAGUCUGCAACUCGACUGCGUGAAGUCGGAAUCGCUAGUAAUCGCGGAUCAGAAUGCCGCGGUGAAUACGUUCCCGGGCCUUGUACACACCGCCCGUCACACCAUGGGAGUUUGUUGCACCAGAAGUAGGUAGUCUAACCGCAAGGAGGACGCUUACCACGGUGUGGCCGAUGACUGGGGUGAAGUCGUAACAAGGUAAGCGUAGAUGA